GCGGGGGGCCGGACGGCCGCCUGCGGGGGGAAACCCUUGCGGGAGGAAAGUCCGGACUCCACAAAGCGACGGUGCCGGGUAACGCCCGGGCGGGGUAACCCGACGGACAGCGCCACAGAGAACAGACCGCCUUCGCGACAUUGCUCUGCAAUGGACGGGGGUCAGGGUGAAACGGUGGGGUAAGAGCCCACCGGGGGGGCGGCAACGUUCCCCGCAUGGCAAGCCCCACCGGGAGCAAUGCCAAAUAGGGACCCCGCGCCUUCGGGCAUCGGUGCUUUGCCGAAGGGGUCCGGGUUGGCAGCUGGAGGCCGCGAAGCGAUUCGCGGUCCAGAGGAAUGGUCGUCGAACCGGAGCGAUCCGGGGAACAGAAUCCGGCUUACAGGCUCCCCGCACAU
This 395-nucleotide RNase P RNA is filed under the name Jannaschia helgolandensis. Its description in RNAcentral is "Bacterial RNase P class A". It matches the Rfam family "Bacterial RNase P class A". Rfam says of the family: Ribonuclease P (RNase P) is a ubiquitous endoribonuclease, found in archaea, bacteria and eukarya as well as chloroplasts and mitochondria. Its best characterised activity is the generation of mature 5'-ends of tRNAs by cleaving the 5'-leader elements of precursor-tRNAs. Cellular RNase Ps are ribonucleoproteins. The record is from Rfam by way of RNAcentral. Lineage: Bacteria; Pseudomonadati; Pseudomonadota; Alphaproteobacteria; Rhodobacterales; Roseobacteraceae.